RNAcentral lists this ribosomal RNA (476 nucleotides) under uncultured bacterium. RNAcentral's name for it is "partial 16S ribosomal RNA". It matches the Rfam family "Bacterial small subunit ribosomal RNA", at positions 28 to 523 of the family's 1533-position model. The record is from RNAcentral.
GAUGAACGCUGGCGGCGUGCUUAACACAUGCAAGUCGAGCGAGUGAGUUCUUCGGAACGAUCUAGCGGCGGACGGGUGAGUAACACGUGGGCAACCUGCCUCAUAGAGGGGAAUAGCCUCCCGAAAGGGAGAUUAAUACCGCAUAAAAUCAUCGAGUGGCAUCACAUGAUAAUCAAAGGAGUAAUCCGCUAUGAGAUGGGCCCGCGGCGCAUUAGCUAGUUGGUGAGGUAACGGCUCACCAAGGCGACGAUGCGUAGCCGACCUGAGAGGGUGAUCGGCCACAUUGGGACUGAGACACGGCCCAGACUCCUACGGGAGGCAGCAGUGGGGAAUAUUGCACAAUGGGGGAAACCCUGAUGCAGCAACGCCGCGUGAGUGAUGAAGGUCUUCGGAUUGUAAAGCUCUGUCUUUGGGGACGAUAAUGACGGUACCCAAGGAGGAAGCCACGGCUAACUACGUGCCAGCCGCCGCUGUAA